Molecule: ribosomal RNA, 450 nt
Filed under: uncultured Glomus
Lineage: Eukaryota; Fungi; Glomeromycota; Glomeromycetes; Glomerales; Glomeraceae
Description: SSU rRNA
Rfam family: Eukaryotic small subunit ribosomal RNA
Source: RNAcentral
AGCAGCCGCGGUAAUUCCAGCUCCAAUAGCGUAUAUUAAAGUUGUUGCAGUUAAAAAGCUCGUAGUUGAAUUUCGGAAUCAAUAUGCCGGUCAUGCCUUGGUAUGCACUGGUAUCUUUGAUUUCUCCCUUCUGACGAACUUUGAUGUCAUUAAUUUGGUGUCAUAGGGAAUCAGGACUGUUACUUUGAAAAAAUUAGAGUGUUUAAAGCAAGCUCACGCUUGAAUACAUUAGCAUGGAAUAAUGAAAUAGGACGUUUGAUUCUAUUUUGUUGGUUUCUAGGAUCGACGUAAUGAUUAAUAGGGAUAGUUGGGGGCAUUAGUAUUCAAUUGUCAGAGGUGAAAUUCUUGGAUUUAUUGAAGACUAACUACUGCGAAAGCAUUUGCCAAGGAUGUUUUCAUUAAUCAGAACGAAAGUUAGGGGAUCGAAGACGAUCAGAUACCGUCGUAGUC